Molecule: ribosomal RNA, 617 nt
Filed under: uncultured Malassezia
Lineage: Eukaryota; Fungi; Basidiomycota; Malasseziomycetes; Malasseziales; Malasseziaceae
Description: eukaryotic LSU rRNA
Rfam family: 5.8S ribosomal RNA (bases 176-329)
Source: RNAcentral
AAGGAUCAUUAGUGAAAGUUUCGGGCCUGCCAUACGGACGCAAACACGUCUCUGGCGCCCAUCACUAUAUCCAUACCAACCCCUGUGCACUGUGAUGACGAAUGUCAUCGAACAAAAAAAAACUCGUAUGGUUGAAUGUACGUGAAAUUGUAGGUAUAGCCUACGAACUAUACACAACUUUCGACAACGGAUCUCUUGGUUCUCCCAUCGAUGAAGAACGCAGCGAAACGCGAUAGGUAAUGUGAAUUGCAGAAUUCCGUGAAUCAUCGAAUCUUUGAACGCACCUUGCGCUCCAUGGUAUUCCGUGGAGCAUGCCUGUUUGAGUGCCGCGAAUUCUCCCUCCCCUUACGGUGGCCGAAAGGCCGAAGUAGGGCGGACGGGGUAGGAUGGGUGUUUGCUGCCUGGGGAUUGUACCAGGCUCGCCCGAAAUGCAUAAGCGCCAGGACCCUCGCUACCGCUCUCUAGGGAAGAGUGGCUAAGCGACCGCUGAGCAUGGCAUGAUACGUCAUUUGCUGUGUGUGGGCGGCCGGUUGGAGAGGUGUCUGCUUUACCAGCCCUAUUUUAAUUCUGGUCUCAAAUCAGGUAGGAUCACCCGCUGAACUUAAGCAUAUCAAUAA